CAGUAGCCGCGGUAAAACGAAGGGGGCUAGCGUUGUUCGGAAUCACUGGGCGUAAAGCGCACGUAGGCGGAUACUUAAGUCAGGGGUGAAAUCCCGGGGCUCAACCUCGGAACUGCCUUUGAUACUGGGUAUCUUGAGUCCGGGAGAGGUUGGUGGAACUCCGAGUGUAGAGGUGAAAUUCGUAGAUAUUCGGAAGAACACCAGUGGCGAAGGCGGCCAACUGGCCCGGUACUGACGCUGAGGUGCGAAAGCGUGGGGAGCAAACAGGAUUAGAGACCCCUGUAGUCCCUGUCUCUUAUAC
This 301-nucleotide ribosomal RNA is filed under the name uncultured bacterium. RNAcentral's name for it is "partial 16S ribosomal RNA". It matches the Rfam family "Bacterial small subunit ribosomal RNA", at positions 509 to 807 of the family's 1533-position model. The record is from RNAcentral.